RNAcentral lists this ribosomal RNA (1487 nucleotides) under Salmonella enterica subsp. enterica serovar Cerro str. 5569. RNAcentral describes it as "bacterial LSU rRNA". It matches the Rfam family "Bacterial large subunit ribosomal RNA", at positions 1 to 1524 of the family's 2925-position model. The record is from RNAcentral. Lineage: Bacteria; Pseudomonadati; Pseudomonadota; Gammaproteobacteria; Enterobacterales; Enterobacteriaceae.
GGGUUGUGAGGUUAAGCGACUAAGCGUACACGGUGGAUGCCCUGGCAGUCAGAGGCGAUGAAGGGCGUGCUAAUCUGCGAUAAGCGCCGGUAAGGUGAUAUGAACCGUUAUAACCGGCGAUACCCGAAUGGGGAAACCCAGUGUGACUCGUCACACUAUCAUUAACUGAAUCCAUAGGUUAAUGAGGCGAACCGGGGGAACUGAAACAUCUAAGUACCCCGAGGAAAAGAAAUCAACCGAGAUUCCCCCAGUAGCGGCGAGCGAACGGGGAGGAGCCCAGAGCCUGAAUCAGCAUGUGUGUUAGUGGAAGCGUCUGGAAAGGCGCGCGAUACAGGGUGACAGCCCCGUACACAAAAGCGCAUGUGCUGUGAGCUCGAUGAGUAGGGCGGGACACGUGGUAUCCUGUCUGAAUAUGGGGGGACCAUCCUCCAAGGCUAAAUACUCCUGACUGACCGAUAGUGAACCAGUACCGUGAGGGAAAGGCGAAAAGAACCCCGGCGAGGGGAGUGAAAAAGAACCUGAAACCGUGUACGUACAAGCAGUGGGAGCACCCUUUUGGGUGUGACUGCGUACCUUUUGUAUAAUGGGUCAGCGACUUAUAUUCUGUAGCAAGGUUAACCGAAUAGGGGAGCCGGAGGGAAACCGAGUCUUAAUUGGGCGUUAAGUUGCAGGGUAUAGACCCGAAACCCGGUGAUCUAGCCAUGGGCAGGUUGAAGGUUGGGUAACACUAACUGGAGGACCGAACCGACUAAUGUUGAAAAAUUAGCGGAUGACCUGUGGCUGGGGGUGAAAGGCCAAUCAAACCGGGAGAUAGCUGGUUCUCCCCGAAAGCUAUUUAGGUAGCGCCUCGUGAAUUCAUCUCCGGGGGUAGAGCACUGUUUCGGCUAGGGGGCCAUCCCGGCUUACCAACCCGAUGCAAACUGCGAAUACCGGAGAAUGUUAUCACGGGAGACACACGGCGGGUGCUAACGUCCGUCGUGAAGAGGGAAACAACCCAGACCGCCAGCUAAGGUCCCAAAGUCAUGGUUAAGUGGGAAACGAUGUGGGAAGGCCCAGACAGCCAGGAUGUUGGCUUAGAAGCAGCCAUCAUUUAAAGAAAGCGUAAUAGCUCACUGGUCGAGUCGGCCUGCGCGGAAGAUGUAACGGGGCUAAACCAUGCACCGAAGCUGCGGCAGCGACACUAUGUGUUGUUGGGUAGGGGAGCGUUCUGUAAGCCUGUGAAGGUGUGCUGUGAGGCAUGCUGGAGGUAUCAGAAGUGCGAAUGCUGACAUAAGUAACGAUAAAGCGGGUGAAAAGCCCGCUCGCCGGAAGACCAAGGGUUCCUGUCCAACGUUAAUCGGGGCAGGGUGAGUCGACCCCUAAGGCGAGGCCGAAAGGCGUAGUCGAUGGGAAACGGGUUAAUAUUCCCGUACUUGGUGUUACUGCGAAGGGGGGACGGAGAAGGCUAUGUUGGCCGGGCGACGGUUGUCCCGGUUUAAGCGUGUAGG